GGGGACGAUCUAGGUUUCGACGAAGAAGUACUUUAAAAACUGCAAGCCAUGUUGAUUUGCAUGUAAAACAAUCAAAAAUACAAGCGCCAAUAAAAACGACGCUUCCGAAAAUGCUUUCGGCGGAUUUAAUUUCGCCUUCGCAUAACUUUGGAUGUUCACCUAUUUGUUUCUUGGUCGAAUAGGAUGGGCAUAAACCUACCAAGAUAGGGUAUUUAGUUUGAUUUAACUUUAUAUUUGAAAUAACAAAUCUUACUUUUAAAAUUGCCUUUUAGUUGGCUUAUUUUUAAAGGAAAAAAAACGUAAACUAAAUAAGCUUGUAGAGGUUUUUAGAUCAAUUUCUUACGGACGAGGGUUCAAUUCCCUCCGUCUCCACAG
This 375-nucleotide transfer-messenger RNA is filed under the name Patescibacteria group. Its description in RNAcentral is "GCA-016432525 sp016432525 Standard tmRNA". It matches the Rfam family "transfer-messenger RNA". From Rfam's summary of the family: Bacterial tmRNA, also known as 10Sa RNA or SsrA, is named for its dual tRNA and mRNA-like properties. Its role is to liberate the mRNA from a stalled ribosome. RNAcentral also lists the same sequence under 1 other name. The record is from RNAcentral.